UACGUAGGGUGCAAGCGUUAAUCGGAAUUACUGGGCGUAAAGCGUGCGCAGGCGGUUUUGUAAGUCUGUCGUGAAAUCCCCGGGCUCAACCUGGGAACUGCAUUUGUGACUGCACAGCUUGAGUGCGGCAGAGGGGGAUGGAAUUCCGCGUGUAGCAGUGAAAUGCGUAGAUAUUCGGAGGAACACCGAUGGCGAAGGCAAUCCCCUGGGCCUGCACUGACGCUCAUGCACGAAAGCGUGGGGAGCAAACAGG
This 253-nucleotide ribosomal RNA is filed under the name uncultured bacterium. Its description in RNAcentral is "partial 16S ribosomal RNA". It matches the Rfam family "Bacterial small subunit ribosomal RNA", at positions 524 to 776 of the family's 1533-position model. The record is from RNAcentral.